GAGAGUUACGGGAAUCUCUCCCUAAAAUUUUAGAGAAAGACUUUCCUCUCUUCUUUUUCUUUGGAAGCUCUCGUCUCUUUUGUUUUAUUACCAAUUUAAUGGCCUCUCCUACUCCAUCUGGAUAGAGGAGGGCUUUCGCCUUUGCCCAAGAAUGGGUUCUCCCUCCCUACUUUCGGCUAGGGCUAUAGAUAUAUUUUUGGUUUUACUUGUUUUGGUUGUAGGGUUUGUUUAUCUGAGAGAGGGAUCUUUUCCUCCUGCAUGCAUUGUCUGGGUAUAGCUUGUGACCAAGCCAUUGUCUCUGGGUUACUAUCUGAGCUAGGGGAGGGAUAGUCGACCUAGAACGAUGGUCUCUGUCUAUUGUUAAUUAAGCCGCGGGAGGGUGCAUUAUCGUCACUUUGAGAAGUGGGAUUUCAAGGUCCCAUCGACGGUUUGAAAGAUGCCUUUGAAGGCUACAAGUCGUUUGAGCUCUUUCACUCGACUCUCUCUACUGUUUUUAGGGAAAUGAUAUGAGCUUUUGAGGUGCUUGAGUCUCUGUUUGUCGGUUGAAUGCUUCUCUACAAGAACUGUCACAAGAAUCUCCGAUGGGUUGUUGCUAUUUAGGCAGUGCUGCUCAAGGAAACUAGCUAGGCUGCUCUUUUUUUUUUUUUU
RNAcentral lists this unclassified non-coding RNA (648 nucleotides) under Hevea brasiliensis (rubber tree). Lineage: Eukaryota; Viridiplantae; Streptophyta; Magnoliopsida; Malpighiales; Euphorbiaceae. The record is from RNAcentral.